RNAcentral lists this ribosomal RNA (253 nucleotides) under uncultured bacterium. Its description in RNAcentral is "partial 16S ribosomal RNA". It matches the Rfam family "Bacterial small subunit ribosomal RNA", at positions 524 to 776 of the family's 1533-position model. The record is from RNAcentral.
UACGGAGGGGGCUAGCGUUAUUCGGAAUUACUGGGCGUAAAGCGCACGUCGGCGGCUAUUCAAGUCAGAGGUGAAAGCCCGGAGCUCAACUCCGGAAUUGCCUUUGAAACUAGAUAGCUUGAAUCAUGGAGAGGUCAGUGGAAUUCCGAGUGUAGAGGUGAAAUUCGUAGAUAUUCGGAAGAACACCAGUGGCGAAGGCGACUGACUGGACAUGUAUUGACGCUGAGGUGCGAAAGCGUGGGGAGCAAACAGG